Brachypodium distachyon (stiff brome) is the source of this 78-nucleotide non-coding RNA. The record is from Rfam. NCBI's taxonomy places the organism in Eukaryota, Viridiplantae, Streptophyta, Magnoliopsida, Poales, Poaceae.
UAGCAAACGACGAGCUUAUUUUGAUUCCUCUUCAGAACAUCAAAAUGGAUGAAGCAAGAUCGAGCCGCCUCUGAUGCA